CGGUCAUUGGCUGACAAACGCUGCUAUGGAGUCCAGACCUUCUGCUGCCAGUCUGACUGAGGUCUACUAGUGAAUCAUGAUUUGUUCGUGAAAACAUUCAUAUGCAUAUUUCACAUAUUAAUUGCUGAAUGAGACCCAUUGUUCUGUCAGAAGCACUGAAAGGAGAACUAAAACAUAAGAAAUAUUUUGCAAGUAUUAAACUACUUGCAUCAUUUUAUAAAAUGAGAUAAGGGAAGAAAACAAGAGAACGGAGGGCCCAGUGGAAGAGUAGAUUGAUCGGGGCUUGUAAUGGGGCAGUGAUAACCUUGUGUAAUGAUAUGUUGCUGUGCUUGUGAUUCCUGUGCUGGCCGUGGCCGCCGUGCAUGAUGGAUCACAACGGCGAGCUGAUAGUGCCAUUACUCACUGACACGCACACCUGCCUGACACCCAUCCCCUCUGGACACAGCAGCCCCCCAGAACCCGGUCCACUGAGACACUCCACUGGAAAUUCUGCAGUCCAGCAAAUCCCACAAAGUUCUCCCCAUGCCUCUUUUGUAGGACGUUUUCCUUUUUCUUUCUCUUUACCUAAUGUUUCCUCUAGUUACAAGCGCUGUUUGUCUCUGUCUGGUGAGAGUUUGGGUAUUUGACCUUUGGAUUUUCAAAGUAAACUUUAAAGUGCUUCUCUUACAGCAUCCUGUAGUUCAGAGGACCCUCAUUACAGAACCGCAGUGAUAGGCCUUUUACUCUCACGACAUGUGCCCCAGCAGAGCACCAGUGUCGGGCUAGCAAACGUGUCAACCCUCCUGAUAACUGCACCCUACUAGCCACCCAAACCGCAGCAGCCCCUAGCCUAUCAAUCACCACGGGCCAGCACAGAGAAGCUGCCUCCCCUGCCACUGGAUGAUGGAGGAGGGGGGAACUGGAGCUCCAUGCAUAUCAGCCGCUGCAUUUGUAGCCCUCCAGGAGAAGAGCAGGUGAAGGGCUGAGAGAAAGAUAUUAAGCUCGCAGCAAGACAGACGAAAGGAGGAUUACACUUUAUUGAGGGAAAGCUGGGAAAAUUACUCAGCGGAAAAGAAAACUGCUGGCAUGCCAUCAAAAACUCAUCCAGAAGAAUUACCAUAUGACUCUUUACCACUGACUGCCAAGAGAGGAAAAAAGGCUUGACUGUAAAACCGUAGGAGUGUUUUGCGUGUCUAAAGGCACAUGCUACAACUGCGCAGCUACAUCAAACACUUGAAUAAGCAUGCAUUAGUAUGCUUGUUUUAAUCUUGGAUUGCUCUGUGCUAUUUCCAGCACCUAUUGUGAAAAUGUCAAGUGGUGAAAUUGAACCGGGUUGCAGAUAUCUGUGUCUGUCACAAAUCUGUCUAAACAGGUUCUGACUGUUAAAAGAGAUUCCAGUGAGAGCCGUUUACCAUAUUGCCUAUUGACUGCUCAAAUUACAACUGUCAGUUUAACUAAAAUAUUAUUUGAAUUAUUUGGAUGACUUUGAAAGUGCAUGUCAGGGUUGACAUCGCUCUUAAUAUCAAAUAAUAUCUUUUCCAGCUUUUAUAACAGGAACGGUGCUAAAAGGAAGUGACAAUUGUUGAGGUACCUGUAAAUGCAAUCCUCAAGGACUAGAAAUGCACUUUGAUGGGAAGACUGUCGGCACAGUUUUGGCGUUAAGACUAUUAGCUUGUUCUGAAUGUGCUUUCUGUUUAUGAGAAGUAUAACAUUUGUGAAUAUUUUUGAAACAGAUGUCUGUUGUUGAUUGGAUUUGCUGUAGAAACUAAUGUAUGACUGCAGAGAAAUUCAAAAAGAGUGAAUAGAUUGACACAAAUUGAAGUUUAGUGGCUAAUUAGCUUUAAAUGGGCCACUUAAUUGGUCUCGAAUGCAAUGAGAAAAACAUCCAUAUUUCACUUUGUCUUCAUUAACACACUGGAAAGUGCUCAUUUGAUUUAUAAUAAUGAAGUUAAAUAGCAGAUAUUUAUUUCUUGGCCUAAAACAUUUUACUGAAGCAUUUAACAAGAUAAACUGAGGAAACAAACAUGUAAAUAUUGAAAUGAAAUGUUGCCAUGUUGAGCACACGGCUCACUGAUGAGACUCUAUAUUCUCAUUAAGCCAUUAAAACCUUCACAGAAU
Cyprinus carpio carpio is the source of this 2097-nucleotide long non-coding RNA. The record is from Ensembl. NCBI's taxonomy places the organism in Eukaryota, Metazoa, Chordata, Actinopteri, Cypriniformes, Cyprinidae.